Molecule: unclassified non-coding RNA, 510 nt
Filed under: Hevea brasiliensis (rubber tree)
Lineage: Eukaryota; Viridiplantae; Streptophyta; Magnoliopsida; Malpighiales; Euphorbiaceae
Source: RNAcentral
UUUUUUCUAGAGCCUCAAUCGCAAUUGCAGUUGGUGUGAUACUGGAAACAUCUCUAUAUCCUAGUUUUGCAGCAAUAUUUUCAAGAGAAACCCUAGCGUUGGCAUUUGCAUAAUAUUCACCUCUCUCUUCAAGAAGAGUAGACAAACACCUGAAAGCCUUUGUGUAUUCAUCGCCUGAUUCAUGGUGCAAAAGUGGGCGAGAAUUCGUUCCCACUGCUGCAAUCCUCUGUGCCAAGGCUUCCAAAGGCACAUCCAACCAGACACUAAUUCCCUUUUGCAUGUAUUUCCAAUUAAUGGGCCGUAUAACUGCACCUCCACCGGUAGAAACAACAAGCCGAUGCAUCAUAGACAACUUCUUCAAGGCCUCAGUCUCUUUAUUUCUGAAGAAACCCUCUCCAUAGAGCUUAAAAAUUUCAGCUACUGAAGCUCCAUCAACCUCCUGCUCCACCAAUGUGUCACAGUCACAGAACGAAUAACCAAGUACUUGUGAGAGAAUCUUGCCCACAGUGG